UGUCCAUCUCCUUUGGUGAUGUAUGGACUCUGAAUUUGGGUGCAUCUUUUAAAGGAAAUGGAAGCUGCCAUGGUUCUUAUAGCAUAAGGAACUGAAUUCUGCUACCUACCUGAAUGAGUUCAUGUGAGACUGCAGUCUUGGCUAACACCCUGAUUUAAGCCUUUUGAGAGCUUCAGCAGAGAAUCCAGUUAUGCUGUGCCUGGAUUUCUGACCUACAGAAACUGUGAGAAAAUAAAUUGGCAUUAUUUUACUUUCUACCUUUAUGAUAAUUUGUAAUGUAGCAAUAGAACACUAAUAC
Molecule: long non-coding RNA, 298 nt
Filed under: Homo sapiens (human)
Lineage: Eukaryota; Metazoa; Chordata; Mammalia; Primates; Hominidae
Description: HSALNT0139611
Source: RNAcentral